CCUGAUUAUUCAAUAAUUCCAGUAAUUCAGAUUGGCUCUCGACUGUUAUUAUGCUUUUGCGAACUACUCUGGUCAUUUUUCAAAAAAGUGCUGCUCGAAACUCCGAACCCGUCGGCCGUUUAUACUUAUAGUUUGCCACGGGAUAAAUCGUUGGCCACUUUGCUCUGGGACAGCUCUCUUGUGUUGACCUUAAUAAUCCAGGGCAUUUGACGUUAAACCACAACGGCACAACGGUGGUCCCGAAGUUAUAAUUAAACCGGAACCUAGCAUUUUUUCAUAGCAGCACUUUCUAAAGAGUUAUUUCUCUUGGAAACUCACUGCCAUCAGUCAGAUUAGUAUGCAACCAGGAAAUUGUCAACGUCACCCGGAAGCAGCAGAUGAUUGUAUGUUCCAUCAAACGCAACAUGGGGUUAAAAAGAUGUGGCACUGUAGACAGCCUCCAGUUCCUAAUUCAUUAGACGAUUUAGUAGAAAUGUUAGAUGACAAAUAGGUAUUGCCAAACCAUUCGAAGACGUCCAUCUAGUGGUGUCCUCAAGUUCAUGAAACACAAAUUUUCCAAAGUAAGUGGCCUCGUUUCGUGUAUUUUACAUUAAUUCCCAAUGGUGUAUGCUUUCCUAGUAUUAAUUUACCAAAAAAGUUAUGAGGCACUUUUGAACAUUGUACGUAAUAUUCAGCCAUUGAAGUACUAACAGCUGUCUAUAAGAUGCCAUUGAUGAAUUGUGUAUUCGAUGUGAUGCCCAAGACCAUGUGAGUAAAUUAAUGAGUUCUUGGUUUUAAGUCUGCCAGAACUACAACAUGGUGUUUUUGUCACAUUUAAAAUACAAUACAGAAUUGUAUCAUUCUCAAUGGUGUAUGCGUUCCUGAUAUUAAUUUACCAAAGAAAGUUACUAGGCACUUUUGAACAUUGAAGUACUAACAGCUGUGUAUAUUAAGAUGAAUUAUGUUCUCGAUGUGAUGGCCGAGACCCUGAGAGCAAAUUAAUGAAUUCUUGUUUUAUUAUUGUCAGAUAGUCAUACGCUAUUGUACUUGGAAAAUUAAUAGCAUAUUAUAUCACCUGCUUCAAGGUAGCCCUGUUGCAGCUAGAGUUUGGAUAAUGGUAUUAGCUUCACAACUUUUACCUGAGAAAAGAGGCCAUCCAGAUUGUCCUUAAUAUAAUAUUAUUAAUGUCCAAGUAUUGAAGAACUUUUUUCAUUAGAUAUAUAGAGCGAUACUGUCAUAAGUUGGACCUACGAUUUUAAGUGUUUUUGGGUGUGAAUAUGGGACCAAUAAUAUUACCUGGAAAUUUUUCAUUCUGCUUAACUGACUCUAAUAUCAAAACAUCAAGCAUGGGAUUUUAUAUUUCACAGAUUAGAGAAUAUACUACUUCAAGAAAUGAGAAAUUUUUAAAAACGACAAUUAUUCAUCAACUCAUUCAUACAUUACAUGUUCAUGGGGACUUAGUAAAGGUCCUCAAGAGGGUAGGCCAUCAAAAUGAUGGAUAUGUUCAAGAUUAUAUUGGUCCA
Acyrthosiphon pisum (pea aphid) is the source of this 1502-nucleotide long non-coding RNA. RefSeq lists it as uncharacterized. The record is from RefSeq and is a predicted model, not a curated record. Lineage: Eukaryota; Metazoa; Arthropoda; Insecta; Hemiptera; Aphididae. The transcript has 8 exons.